CUGGGGCUUGUCUCCAAAGGCUGCAGGCAGGACGUGCGGGCCCUUGGCACGACGCAGUCUCAUCGGUGGCCACCGGCAGCCCCUUAGCUGGUCUGGGUUUUGGACUUACUGCCUCCUCCUGCCCUGGCCUCACUGUCCCUGAGGUCUGAAGUUCCCCGGCCAAGCUAAGUCCACAGCCUCAGUGAAGCCACCUGGGACAGAGGCCCUGGGAGGAGAAGGGUCUGGGACGUAAAUCCCUAAAGCUCUGAGUUGUCCUUGUGUGUUCGGCUCCUAGGGACCUUGGAAGGAAGCUAGGAAGGCAGAAGACCGGGUGAGAUCCAAGUGGCUCCAGCGCGCCUCAGCUUUUGGCCUUGCUAGAGUUUGGAUGCCCCAAGUCCCCCAAGGGUCCCUGUGUUAGCUGUUUAGUUCUAGGUGGGGCAGUUGGGAGGUGGUGGAACCACUAGGAGGUGGCGCCUAGUGAUGGGCCCUUAGGUCACUGUGAGUGUGACUUUGAUGGGGACAGAGGGACUCUAGUGCCUUCUUCUUUUGCUCCCUGACCACGAGGUGAGCAGUCUUGCUCACUCACCUGCUCCUGCCGUGGUGCACUGCCCUGUCACAGGCCCAAAGCCACAGGGCCAACCCAGCUUGGGCCAGAAUUUCCAAAGCUGUGAGCCAAAGUAACCUUUUCUCUUUAGAAGUUGAUUAUCUCAGGGGUUGUGUUAUAGUGAGGACUCACUGAAGUCGGACUAACAUACACCUCAACUCCGGGCUUCCCCUUCUUCAUCUGUCAAAUCGGCAAAAUGAUAAUCCAUAUCAUUUGGCUUUUUUUUGGGGGGGGGUACUGGGGAUUGAACUCAGGGUCCCUCAACCACUGAGCCACAUCCCCAGCCCUAUUUUGUAUUAUAUUUAGAGACAGGGUCUCCCUGAGUUGCUUAGCACCUGCCAUUGCUGAGGCUGGCUUUGAACUUGUGAUUCUCCUGUCUCAGCCUCCCAAGCUGCUGGGAUCACAGGCGUGCGCCACCUCGCCCAGCUCACUGUGGGCUUUUACUGAAGAGUACAUGAGGUAAUAGUCCUAAAGCACUCAGCACGGUGCCUAGCACACAGUAGGUGCUCGGUAGACAUUAUUCUCCAGGAGGCCCAACCUCUUCCCUUUCCUCUCCAAACUCCAACAUGGAAGAGCAUUUGCCCUCUGCCUGCCGCUCCCUGGGUCUGGCUCUAUCCCCCGCUCAUCUCGUGGCUUCUGUGCCCUGAGAGGGAGUCCUGCUGGGUCCAGAGGCAACUUGCCAGACCUGAACGGUGUCACAUGCUGGUGUGUUUGAGACUGGGCUCCACGUCCGUGCCUUGACACCCAUCUUAAGCCUCUCCACUUGCAGGUUGCAAACUUUGUUCAUGGGACUGUUUGUUGACAUCCAAACACAGGCGAGGUGCUCAGGAAAGCAGGACGUUAACCCCCAUGCCUACGCGGUGUGCUGCCCCAUUUAAUGUCACAAGGUCUCACCGUCCCCACUUUACAGAGGAGGGCACUGAGGCAGAGGGGUGAAGUGGUUUGUGCGUGGUCUCAGAUUUAGUCGGUGGAGGAGGCCGACACAGGUCCCUGUGUUCAGUCCUAAUUCUGGGCGGGGGACGAAGGCAGAAGAGAGAGGGGGAAUCCAGACACUCCCUGGGCCUUGCCUAGAUGCGGGUCCUGUGGUGGAGGAACCUGCAUCAUCUUAUGUUAGUGGGCGAGGCCGUGGACAGGAGUGACAGUGAUCAUCAUGGCUACUGUUCAUGUGGUCAUCUGGAGUUAAAUUCUAUCGAGCACUUAAUACCGCACUUAUAUAUUUUUUUCAUUUAAUCCUCAAAAUAACCUACUGUGCCAGUGUUAGAGAACAGAGCCACUUAGGGUAACCCCAUGAUUAGGAACCUGAGCCCCAGGGACUUAGGACAGCGCCCGGCAUAGAGUGGACAUUGGAGCCCGUGCUCCGUGUACUUGGCAUCCUGGACUUUGGUGACAGUGUGCUGCAGUUUGAGUAGAGUUUGUUCCCGCCUGAGUUAGUCAGCCCUGUCACUCUGACAAACACCUGAGAACAACCACCCGGGGCCAGGGAUCCACUUUGGCUCACGGUUUCAGAUUUUCAGUCCACGGUCAGCGGCUCCGUUGCUCUGAGCCUGAGGUAAGGCAUCUGGGAAGCAGGGAGGGGUGGGCAGGGACAAGAUAUAGUCCCCAGGGAAUGUCCCCAGGGGCGCACUUCCUCCACACGCACCCCCUUCACCUCCCAACAGUCCACCCGGCUGUCAGUGGGUUAAUCCACGGGGCAGGUGGGAGCCCCCACGAUCCAGUCAUUUCCCCAAACUCCUCUGGACCUUGCUGCAAGCUUUCACACCUGGGACCCGAGGGACAUUAGAUCCAAGCCACAAAUACCUCCUGACUCAGGCUGAGGCCUGGUCCAGUGUGGCAGUUGAAGCCAGAAAUGGGCCUGGGGAGGCUGGGCCCUGGGGUGGGGCCCUGGCUGACGGCUUCCCUCCCUUCUCAUGGGAGUGUAUUCUCGCUCUUGAGGCUGGAUUAUCACAGCCAUAGGCGACCCGUCCCGCAUGCACCCAUUUCCCUGUCAUUUUAACACCAGAUGUCUCC
RNAcentral lists this long non-coding RNA (2590 nucleotides) under Marmota monax (woodchuck). The record is from RNAcentral. Lineage: Eukaryota; Metazoa; Chordata; Mammalia; Rodentia; Sciuridae.